AUAUAUAUAUAUAUAUGUAUGUGUAUAUAUAUAUAUAUAUAUAUAUAUAUAUAUAAGAAACACUUGGAUCGUGAGGAGGGCUCGGGCUUAUUAACAAUGCCACAAAACUAAGGACGAAUUAGUUCUUCAACGAUCGAACCGAGUCGUCUUCUCGCAGAAGGCAGCAAUAAAUAUAUCUAAGGUGCACAAAAAUGCUGGAGAAACACAGCGGGUGCAGCAGCAUCUAUGGAGCGAAGGAAAUAGGCAACGUUUCGGGCCGAAACCCUUCUUCAGACAAAUAUAUCUAUACUCUCUCUUUUCUUCCUCAAUCGAAGGAGGUUUCGUGAAGUACUUUGUCGCCAUGGCUGGAUAUUUGUGAGCUUUGUUUCGCUAGACACUAGACAGCAUUUAACUCCAGCAGUGACUUUUUUAAAUGGGAGCUGGCGAAAAUUAAACAAAAAACCUCGAAUGUUUCCUUUUGAUUUUCCAACCGAUUUUUAAAUUGUUUACAACAAACUUAAGAGAAGAGCGCAGAGGGAAGAAAACACAAAACGACAGCAUGGUGGAUAGAAAGGGUUUUCUAAAACAAAAUGUUAACACACACACUAUUUGAAGUAACGGGUACAGUGUAGAUCGAACAAACGUCGGGUUGAUGGUAGCAUCCCGGAGUAUUUACAUGUAUUUACAUGAGGGGGAGCAUUUCAUGACUUUUUACGGUGGAACGCAAUGAAACUGCAGUAAAGUGCAAUACUGUAAAUAUCAGAAGUAGUUGUCUCGUAGUAACUUGGGAAGAAAGCAAGCAAUCACCUGGUCUUUGAAGGCACAAGAAGCUGGUGGAUUGCCGCACGGUCACCAAAAUCAACAAAGAGAACCAAAUUCGUAUCUCUACAGGGCGAUUACCGAGUGGUAUCUUAAAGAUAAAAUAGCUAAACGGUUUUUUUUUUUCGUUCGGGGGUGGGAUGGGAGGGUCGAUCGAUCGAUCAUGUGCCAUGAUUCUUGGAGCUAAGCUCGAUUUAAGUGUGCAAAACACGGCUUUUUACAGGUCCGUUUUUAAAAUGCAGAAUAACGGUGGAGUUAGAGGAACAUAAUUUGACACCGUGAGCGAGAAGUCAGUGCUUAUGUUUAAUGUCAGAUACCCACAGCCGUGAACCCACCGCACUGUUAUAACCCAGCACAUGAACGUUUUUUUUAAUUUAUUUCUCGUAUUUUUAAAUUUUUAUAAAUGUGAUAUAUUUUAUUAAGUCGUGUGUAAAUGUCACUUGCUUUGCCUUUAUUUUUAUAUUUUCAAUCUUGCUUUGCGAAUUUCCGAAUGAGACAGGUGUGUAAUUAAGUUGUAAUGUUAAAUAUAGCAAGUUGGAGUUUACAAUAUGAAUAAAAAUCAUUUCAGGGAUGCAGAUGAUUAAUGAUAAUGAUAGUGAAACCUAGCGCCGGAUCGACACACUCAUUGCAAGAUUAAACAGUAAACCAGUGGUACGGAGACUAAAGACAUGUAUUCGUUUUGUGAUUAUUUGCAAGCAUGCUUACACAUUCUGAUUUACGACACAGUUCUAUAACUUAUAGUCCAGAGUGUAUUUUGUUGGAUCAUCCAUAUUAUGAAUGUACAACUUGUACACGUGAAGUUGCAAAUAAAAUUUAAAAUAUUUGUA
Amblyraja radiata (thorny skate) is the source of this 1625-nucleotide long non-coding RNA. RefSeq lists it as uncharacterized. The record is from RefSeq and is a predicted model, not a curated record. The transcript is spliced from 2 exons. Lineage: Eukaryota; Metazoa; Chordata; Chondrichthyes; Rajiformes; Rajidae.